Molecule: ribosomal RNA, 119 nt
Filed under: Pteropus alecto (black flying fox)
Lineage: Eukaryota; Metazoa; Chordata; Mammalia; Chiroptera; Pteropodidae
Source: RNAcentral
GCCUACGGCCACACCACCCUGAACGUGCCCAAUCUCAUCUGAUCUUGGAAGCUAAGCAGGGUCGAGCCUGGUUAGUACUUGGAUGGGAGACCGUGUAGGAAGACCAGGUGCAAUAGAUG